GUAAAAAGUAAUUCAGUGGCUUAGUAAAUUUCACAAAAAUAAAGAGCUAUAUUUACUUAAUAAAAUCUUUUGAAAUCAUUUAAGUGAUAUUUUGAGUGGGUCAGGUUAAAAAUAAUAAUUAAAAAUCCAACAAAUAAUUUCUCUAAAAUUUACAUAUAUUAUUUAAGUUUAUGUAAUGAAAAUAAAUAAGUAUUUAACUAACUAAUUAUAUUUUUAAUAUACCCUCAAUAUUUCUGGUGAAUUCUAAUAUAAAUAUUUGAUAAUUAUUUACUUGUACUGAUCUGUUUUAGAAACUAAAAUUAUUAAGUAUUUCCUACCAAUUUUCCUAAAUAAAGCUCCAGCUUAAUAAAUGACGGUUUAAAUAAAUUGAGUAAAUUUCGCGGCUAAAGUGAUCACGUGUGCAGCUCCGCAGGAAAAAAAAAAAUCUGCUUUCCUCAGCAGAGACGUCGACUAGCCAUACUCCUCACAACUCCUGGUAAGUAACGUUAGUCAGCUAAUCCUACUUACGUUUGUAACACUUUAUUAUAAAGUUAAUAAUUAUUAAGCAUUUCCUAACAAUUGUCUUUGUAUUUUACGUCAUCUUCAACAAGUUUCGUAGCUUAAUCGAAGUCACCUGAAGGACGGCUUUCCUGAAUUUCCUCAGCAACGGCAAGACCCGCACUCCUCUCAUAUCUUGAAGUUUAACGAGUUUCGCGGCUCAAGCAAGAGGCACCUGUCACUGAAGGACUGCUUUUCUCAGCAACGACGUGAACAGCAUCACUCGAAUUUCCUUCACCGCAGCUGUUUCACAACAAAUCCAGACCUGGUGGGUAUUGAAGGACAGCGGAGGCUGGGGGAGGGGUACAUUGCAUUUCAAGGGUUCAGCUGAUCUACCGGUCUUCGUACAAGCAGAGUUGGCAGAGGAGGUCAUAAAAAUCUACAUCCUUCGGGACAAUGAUGGGGCAGUCAGCGAUGUAGGAGUUGUGAUUGAGGGCAUCACUGUCCUCCGCAGUCUUGGGAAUCUCAGCAGAGUCUGCUGCUAUCUUUUGGGAGUCACGUAUGCAUUGGAUUUGAGAUAUUCCAAGACCCACAAAUACAGGUCCUCCUCAAAAAAUUAGCUUAUUGUGAUAAAGUUCAUUAUUUUCCAUAAUGUAAUGAUAAAAAUUUAACUUUCAUAUUUUAGAUUCAUUGCACACCAACUGAAAUAUUUCAGGUCUUUUAUUGUUUUAAUACUGAUGAUUUUGGCAUACAGCUCAUGAAAACCCCAAAUUCUCAAAAAAUUAGCAUAUUUCAUCCGACCAAUAAAAGAAAAGUGUUUUUAAUACAAAAAAGCUCAUCCAGAGUGUUGGGUCUUGCGUCUCUCAACUUUCUCUUCACAAUAUCCCACAGAUUCUCCAUGGGGUUCAGGUCAGGAGAGUUGGCAGGCCAAUUGAGCACAGUAAUACCAUGGUCAGUAAACCAUUUACUAGUGGUUUUGGCACUGUGGGCAGGUGCCAGGUCAUGCUGAAAAACAAAAUCUUCAUCUCCAUAAAGCUUUUCAGCAGAUUGAAGCAUGAAGUGCUCCAAAAUCUCCUGAUAGCUAGCUGCAUUGACCCUGCCCUUGAUAAAACCAGUGGACCAACACCAGCAGCUGACAUGGCACCCCAGACCAUCACUGACUGUGGGUACUUGACACUGGACUUCAGGCAUUUUGGCAUUUCCUUCUCCCCAGUCUUCCUCCAGACUCUGGCACCUUGAUUUCCGAAUGACAUCCAAAAUUUGCUUCCAUCCGAAAAAAGUACUUUGGACCACUGAGCAACAGUCCAGUGCUGCUUCUCUGUAGCCCAUUUCCUGCACACGCCUGUGCACGGUGGCUCUGGAUGUUUCUACUCCAGACUCAGUCCACUGCUUCCGCAGGUCCCCCAAGGUCUGGAAUCGGUCCUUCUCCACAAUCUUCCUCAGGGUCCGGUCACCUCUUCUCGUUGUGCAGCGUUUUUUGCCACACUUUUUCCUUCCCACAGACUUCCCUCUGAGGUGCCUUGAUACAGCACUCUGGGAACAGCCCAGAAUUUCUUUCUGUGUCUUACCCUCUCGCUUGAGGGUGUCAAUGAUGGCCUUCUCAGGUUGGCAGUCUUACCCAUGAUUGGGAUUUUGAGUAAUGAACCAGGCUGGGAGUUUUUAAAAGCCUCAGGAAUCUUUUGCAGGUGUUUAGAGUUAAUUAGUUGAUUCAGAUGAUUAGGUUAAUAGCUCGUUUAGAUAACCUUUUCAUGAUAUGCUAAUUUUUUGAGAUAGGAAUUUUGGGUUUUAAUGAGCUAUAUGCCAAAAUAAUC
Carassius gibelio (silver crucian carp) is the source of this 2288-nucleotide long non-coding RNA. RefSeq lists it as uncharacterized. NCBI's taxonomy places the organism in Eukaryota, Metazoa, Chordata, Actinopteri, Cypriniformes, Cyprinidae. The transcript has 4 exons. The record is from RefSeq and is a predicted model, not a curated record.